GACGAACGCUGGCGGCGUGCCUAAUACAUGCAAGUUGAGCGCUGAAGGUUGGUACUUGUACCGACUGGAUGAGCAGCGAACGGGUGAGUAACGCGUGGGGAAUCUGCCUUUGAGCGGGGGACAACAUUUGGAAACGAAUGCUAAUACCGCAUAAAAACUUUAAACACAAGUUUUAAGUUUGAAAGAUGCAAUUGCAUCACUCAAAGAUGAUCCCGCGUUGUAUUAGCUAGUUGGUGAGGUAAAGGCUCACCAAGGCGAUGAUACAUAGCCGACCUGAGAGGGUGAUCGGCCACAUUGGGACUGAGACACGGCCCAAACUCCUACGGGAGGCAGCAGUAGGGAAUCUUCGGCAAUGGACGAAAGUCUGACCGAGCAACGCCGCGUGAGUGAAGAAGGUUUUCGGAUCGUAAAACUCUGUUGGUAGAGAAGAACGUUGGUGAGAGUGGAAAGCUCAUCAAGUGACGGUAACUACCCAGAAAGGGACGGCUAACUACGUGCCAGCAGCCGCGGUAAUACGUAGGUCCCGAGCGUUGUCCGGAUUUAUUGGGCGUAAAGCGAGCGCAGGUGGUUUAUUAAGUCUGGUGUAAAAGGCAGUGGCUCAACCAUUGUAUGCAUUGGAAACUGGUAGACUUGAGUGCAGGAGAGGAGAGUGGAAUUCCAUGUGUAGCGGUGAAAUGCGUAGAUAUAUGGAGGAACACCGGUGGCGAAAGCGGCUCUCUGGCCUGUAACUGACACUGAGGCUCGAAAGCGUGGGGAGCAAACAGGAUUAGAUACCCUGGUAGUCCACGCCGUAAACGAUGAGUGCUAGAUGUAGGGAGCUAUAAGUUCUCUGUAUCGCAGCUAACGCAAUAAGCACUCCGCCUGGGGAGUACGACCGCAAGGUUGAAACUCAAAGGAAUUGACGGGGGCCCGCACAAGCGGUGGAGCAUGCGGUUUAAUUCGAAGCAACGCGAAGAACCUUACCAGGUCUUGACAUACUCGUGCUAUUCCUAGAGAUAGGAAGUUCCUUCGGGACACGGGAUACAGGUGGUGCAUGGUUGUCGUCAGCUCGUGUCGUGAGAUGUUGGGUUAAGUCCCGCAACGAGCGCAACCCCUAUUGUUAGUUGCCAUCAUUAAGUUGGGCACUCUAACGAGGCUGCCGGUGAUAAACCGGAGGAAGGUGGGGAUGACGCCAAAUCAUCAUGCCCCUUAUGACCUGGGCUACACACGUGCUACAAUGGAUGGUACAACGAGUCGCGAGACAGUGAUGUUUAGCUAAUCUCUUAAAACCAUUCUCAGUUCGGAUUGUAGGCUGCAACUCGCCUACAUGAAGUCGGAAUCGCUAGUAAUCGCGGAUCAGCACGCCGCGGUGAAUACGUUCCCGGGCCU
Molecule: ribosomal RNA, 1368 nt
Filed under: uncultured bacterium
Lineage: Bacteria
Description: bacterial SSU rRNA
Rfam family: Bacterial small subunit ribosomal RNA
Source: RNAcentral